RNAcentral lists this ribosomal RNA (270 nucleotides) under uncultured Oscillospiraceae bacterium. RNAcentral describes it as "partial 16S ribosomal RNA". It matches the Rfam family "Bacterial small subunit ribosomal RNA", at positions 71 to 339 of the family's 1533-position model. The record is from RNAcentral. Lineage: Bacteria; Bacillati; Bacillota; Clostridia; Eubacteriales; Oscillospiraceae.
UUUUGGAUUUUCUUGCUUAUCUUAGUGGCGGACGGGCGAGUAACGCGUGAGCAACCUGCCCCUCAGUGGGGAACAACAGUUGGAAACGACUGCUAAUACCGCAUAAUGUACCGCCGGGGCAUCCCGGUGGCACCAAAGGAGCAAUUCGCUGAAAGAUGGGCUCGCGUCUGAUUAGAUAGUUGGUGAGGUAACGGCUCACCAAGUCGACGAUCAGUAGCCGGACUGAGAGGUUGAUCGGCCACAUUGGGACUGAGACACGGCCCAGACUCC